GCAAAUGCAAUAGAAGUUGUGCCAUGACUAUCCAUAACUCGCUAAGAGAGAACUCAUCAAAAGAACAUACAAUAUAAAAAAGUACAUAGAGUAUAAAUUGUUUAACACAUUAAAACCACCAACACUCCAUUAACAACAAUUUGAAGCAAGUACCCAAGACACCAGACAUCAUCAAGAUUCCAGAACAAGUUGCAACAAAUGGUUAAUGAGAAGUUUUACAGAACAUGCAAACAUAAAAAGAAGCAGCUCAUGAUGAUCUGGAAGAGUUGAACUGUUAAUCCAGAUAGAAUCUAAUACACACUGUGAAUACUCUUCGAUGUAUAAGAUCCAUGCCCAUACAUGAUGUGAGUAUCAAUUUAGGUAAAAAAAUCCAUAUCCAAAACCUCUGAAAAAUUCUGCAUACCCAAGUUCCAAAUUCUGAUUCACUAACAAGAGCAACACACAUUAAACUUUGGUAUCAAUUUGAACAAUUUAAUAUGUCCACCAUAACUUAAUUAAGAAUGCCUAAAUGUGAUCAACUAACAAAGCAAAGCGAAAAUUAAAUACUACAGCAAUACAUACAAUAUGGACUUGGUUGGAUUAAACAAAGAUUUGAACUCUACAAUGCCCAUUUACUGUAUUCACUCAACCAAUAAAACUAAAGCCAAAAAUUUAAGUACAGAACAGAACCCACAAAUCCAACAGAUGUAAAAACCAGGAGAAUGUAAAUGCCCAUUCAUACUAAGCAAAUACGAAAAAUUUUACAUACAUAUGGCUAAAGACAACUCAACUCAACUAGACCUUUAUCCACAAAAUUUAGGAUAGGCUAUAUAAAUUCACUUUCUCCCUAAAUAAUUUUGGGAUAAAUCCUCCGAAAUGUGUAGGAAAUCCCAUAAAGGCACGAACUUU
RNAcentral lists this unclassified non-coding RNA (888 nucleotides) under Hevea brasiliensis (rubber tree). The record is from RNAcentral. Lineage: Eukaryota; Viridiplantae; Streptophyta; Magnoliopsida; Malpighiales; Euphorbiaceae.